This 261-nucleotide ribosomal RNA is filed under the name Triticum aestivum (bread wheat). RNAcentral describes it as "partial small subunit ribosomal RNA". Lineage: Eukaryota; Viridiplantae; Streptophyta; Magnoliopsida; Poales; Poaceae. The record is from RNAcentral.
CCAAAGAGUAAAGGAGGGACGAGUUUUCUUGAUAUCCACGGUUUCAUUUUAGCAAUGUUGGAAAAGCAAGCAAUGAGGCUCGUUGAGAACCCAGAGUCCCUAUGUGUUCGUAUUAUUCGUGAGAAAUAUUAUCUGGGUGGCAACCUUUUAGAGGCGAAGCUCAAGAAGGGGUUGUCCUUUACAUGGCAGGGUAACAUGGCUGGAGUAAAUGUGCUAUGUCACCGUUAUAUCUGGAGAGCUGGGGAUGGACAGAAAUAUUAA